GGGAAAUGUAAUGGGGUUAAGAUGGGAUGGGAAGGUGGGUGGUGUAAAUUCAAACUGAGACAGGUUGUUACUGAGGGUAAUUAAAUCACUGCAAAGUCAAUUAAAAGUGUGUGUGUGUGUGUGUGUGUGUGCAGGAGGCUGGUUGGAUUUUGUGAGGCUAAGCGACUGCACACAGUAUCAUCAGGAAACAUGUUAAUCUCUCA
This is a non-coding RNA of Xyrichtys novacula (pearly razorfish), 203 nucleotides long. The record is from the annotation of a GenBank genome assembly. Lineage: Eukaryota; Metazoa; Chordata; Actinopteri; Labriformes; Labridae.